Molecule: ribosomal RNA, 262 nt
Filed under: uncultured bacterium
Lineage: Bacteria
Description: partial 16S ribosomal RNA
Rfam family: Bacterial small subunit ribosomal RNA
Source: RNAcentral
GACGAACGCUGGCGGCGUGCUUAACACAUGCAAGUCGAGCGGUAAGGCCCUUUCGGGGGUACGACGAGCGGCGAACGGGUGGAGUAACACGUGGGUGGACCUGCCCUCCAGCUCUGGGAGUAAGCCCGGGAAACGUGGGUCGUAAUACUGGAUAUGACUCCACGGUGCAUGCCGUGGGGUGGAAAGCCUUGUGCGGCUGAGGAUGGCCCGCGGCCUAUCAGCUUGUUGGUGGGGUGAUGGCCUACCAAGGCGACGACGGGUA